GGCUAAGAGCCAGGCUGGAAAGCCCAGGAAUUUUUCUUGAGGAAAUUAUGGUUGAGCAGAGACCUAAAGGAUAAGUAAGAAUUAACUGAUAAAUUUAAUUAAAAGUGUGACAGAGCACCCCAGGCAAGAAAACAGUGUGUGAAAGAAGACAAAGGAAGGCAUGAGGAUCUGAAAGUGCUGUAAGUUUAGAGGUAAGGAAACCAUAUGGACCAUUCUUGAACGAGUCUGGACAUGAAACAAUUAAGAUCUGAAGCCAGGCUAGAACAUUGCAGAGAGUGAGAAGUGGAUAAACUCAAGAGGAAUUGAGGAAUCUCAUCGUCCUUCAGGAGUUUCCAAGUGAAGCUGAUCAUUAAAAUGACAUGAGGAGAUAUUUUAUCUUGUUUUAUUUCUUUAAAUAGUGAUUUUUGGCCUCACCCUGAGAGACACUGAAUUGGUAAAUAAAUUACAUAUGAAGAUGGAUUUCUAUUUUUAAACUUUUUAGCAGCAAGAUUUCAAAUUUAUUGAUAAUGGAACUACUGAGAUGGCUCCUCUGGAUGAAGAGCAUCUUUUGAAGCAGAAUUCGGAUGUCUCAUUUGGGGAAGUUGACUUUGGGGGCUGUGUUUUGCUUCAUUGGAAAUAUCUAGCACGUCUGGGUGAGGCCACGGAACCAGAUGGAGCCAGAAGGGGAGAGCAUGUAGAGUGAAAAACAGAAGCCAGUGCAAAACCAAGAAGAAUACUUCAGGAUCAAGCUAGUAUCCCAGAUGGAUUGAUCCAUGAUAUCAAGAAUAUUGCCAGGAUAGACCAAUAUAACUUUAAACGAUGGGGACCAAUUGAAAAAACAGUGAAAGAACAUAUCUCAUUUCAGAAAAUAGAUGUUUCUCUCUCAUGGCUUGUAUAAAUAAAAUUUUACAACCUACCAAACCA
Equus caballus (horse) is the source of this 903-nucleotide non-coding RNA. Lineage: Eukaryota; Metazoa; Chordata; Mammalia; Perissodactyla; Equidae. The record is from RefSeq and is a predicted model, not a curated record.